RNAcentral lists this ribosomal RNA (90 nucleotides) under uncultured bacterium. Its description in RNAcentral is "partial 16S ribosomal RNA". It matches the Rfam family "Bacterial small subunit ribosomal RNA", at positions 1393 to 1482 of the family's 1533-position model. The record is from RNAcentral.
CCUGUCACACCAUGGGAGUUGAUUGCACCAGAAGCAGGUAGCCUGACCGCAAGGAGGGCGCCUACCACGGUGUGGUCAAUGACUGGGGUG